RNAcentral lists this long non-coding RNA (449 nucleotides) under Androctonus crassicauda. Lineage: Eukaryota; Metazoa; Arthropoda; Arachnida; Scorpiones; Buthidae. The record is from RNAcentral.
UGAAAAAUAAAUAGUUAUUUUUUUAAUGACAUUUUCCAAUCAUUGGCUGAUUACUGCCAAAUGGAGUCUACUCCAGCUCAAUUAUCUAUCCAUAGCUAUUGUAGACUCAAUAGGAUAUUAUCAUAGAUGGAUCAACACCCAGGCUGGAUCCAUCAAAAAGUUCCUGAUGCAUGAAAUUUGGACAUUUGAAUUAAUUUAUUAUAGGUGGUCCUCGAAUUUCAUGCAGUUUUCUAUUUUGUACAUAUUUAAAAAUUAAUUUUUAUUCCAAAAACACAGAUACCUCUUUGUAGCCACUCACCCCUUCUCUCCAUCAUUAGUCCCACCCCAUUUCCAUUGUCACAAGUUUAGUCUUGAGUUAGGACGUAUGUUGUUAUGUUGUGUGUUGUAAAAUAAAUACACUUUAAAAACAUGCUUUCUUUUACAUCGCUCUACUUUCGUACACGUUUCGG